AUUAAACGCUGGCGGCAUGCCUUACACAUGCAAGUCGAACGGCAGCACGGGGGCAACCCUGGUGGCGAGUGGCGGACGGGUGAGUAAAGCAUCGGAACGUAUCCUGGAGUGGGGGAUAACGUAGCGAAAGUUACGCUAAUACCGCAUAUUCUGUGAGCAGGAAAGCAGGGGAUCGCAAGACCUUGCGCUCUGGGAGCGGCCGAUGUCGGAUUAGCUAGUUGGUGGGGUAAAGGCCUACCAAGGCGACGAUCCGUAGCGGGUCCGAGAGGAUGAUCCGCCACACUGGGACUGAGACACGGCCCAGACUCCUACGGGAGGGCAGCAGUGGGGGAAGUUUUGGUACAAUGGGCGGAAGCCUGAUCCAGCCAUGCCGCGUGAGUGAAGAAGG
RNAcentral lists this ribosomal RNA (388 nucleotides) under uncultured bacterium. Its description in RNAcentral is "bacterial SSU rRNA". It matches the Rfam family "Bacterial small subunit ribosomal RNA", at positions 29 to 414 of the family's 1533-position model. The record is from RNAcentral.